AAUCGCUAUAGCUCAGUGGCAGAGCCCCUGCUUUGAAUGCAGAAGGUCUUUGAUUCAGUCCCUGAUAGCAUCU
Non-coding RNA from Podarcis lilfordi (Lilford's wall lizard), 73 nucleotides. The record is from the annotation of a GenBank genome assembly. NCBI's taxonomy places the organism in Eukaryota, Metazoa, Chordata, Lepidosauria, Squamata, Lacertidae.